This 1081-nucleotide long non-coding RNA is filed under the name Gallus gallus (chicken). RNAcentral's name for it is "long non-coding RNA NONGGAT003540". The record is from RNAcentral. Lineage: Eukaryota; Metazoa; Chordata; Aves; Galliformes; Phasianidae.
CUCCUCCAACCCCAUCCCAAUUAACUGCCUCCUAAUGACUUUCUGAAGCUGGAGGAUUUCCUUAAUUAUACCACCACGUGUUAGACUGUAAUCAAGAAAUCAAUCCUCACCACCGCCCGGAGCGGGGCCUGUGCUCGGCAGCACAGCAGCUGCAGCCACCUCCACAUAGACCCCGGGUUUGCAGGGAUGCAGCAGCACACGGACAGGGGCUCACAGAAAGGGUUUUCCUCUCCAGGAUUCUUCAGCCUCUACGUGUAACAUCAUUGUUUCUGAGUGCUCGGCCCCCAAGGCCUGGCCCUGCUGAGAGCUCCUUCCCACCGAGCAGAGCACACCUCCCACCCAGCACAGCGCCGUCCAGGCAGGAAAAUGCACACAGAGCAAAUCCUCACCACGAGAACAACACAUUUCACCUGUAGGUUUUGUGGGGUUUUUUUUUUCCUGUCUGUCUUUAAAUGAUGUGUGCCGGCAUCAGAGGAUCAGGGAGCGCGCAGCAGUGGUUCAGUGCUGGAAGCAGCUCCUUGCUCAGCAAUGCAGCCUGGCUGUGCACGCUGUUGGUCCGCUUUGGGAUCAAACAGAGACCCAACGAGAUAAAAACAGAGAGUGGGGAGCGGGGGGGGGCACAGGGACAGAAGGGAAAACAAAGAAACGAACUCUGCUGCCCGAGAGGUAAACUUGCACUCGUUUGUUAUGUAGCAGCCUGGUUUAAAAACAAAGGAAAACAAAAAGAAAAGAAAAGAAAACUGGGAUCUGUGUCCAAAGACUUCCUUCAGAUUAAAAACAGCUCCUUACAAACCUCCUUACAGAGUGGUGAUGCUGAGCUCACAGCCGAUCUGUGCUCCAGCAUCCGCAGCCAUAUGCAUCCCUGCCCAGCACUGCAUGGGAACCACAUCCCCCCCCACGGCCCCCAAAUCCCCCCCAGCCCCCCACAUCCCCAGCAUGGGCUGCCCAGCAGGACAGCACCCACGUGUGUGCUUGUCUCCCCCUCAGUGUAUUUCCCAACCAAUGCAGAAGGAAAGGGGAUCAUUUAUAAACAACGAGGAAAGUGCUUGCAGGGAGGGGCUCUGAGAAAACGGCACCAAAU